GGGGGCGUUCUUGGAUUCGACGGGGGUAGGUUGCGCAUGAGUAGCGGGUAGUGGGGUCGUCCACUAUACAACGCAAAGCCAAUAAUAACUGGCAAACAACAAACUAACUACGCUUUCGCAGCUUAAUAACCUGUGAGCGUGCUCUACCACUCCAUCGCCCAUGUGGCGUGACUAGGGCUCAACUUUAGUGGGAUACGCCGCUGGGUCUCCGUCUGGGGUCCACGGAAGAAGACAAUCAGACUAGUCUAAGCUGUGGUGGGUGACCUGGCAGCGGCUUAGGCGAAACAUUCACAGGUUACUACACCCGUAGAAGCUGAUGUGGCGAUAUCUUCGGACAGGGGUUCGACUCCCCUCGCCUCCA
This 361-nucleotide transfer-messenger RNA is filed under the name uncultured Xylanibacillus sp. It matches the Rfam family "transfer-messenger RNA". From Rfam's summary of the family: Bacterial tmRNA, also known as 10Sa RNA or SsrA, is named for its dual tRNA and mRNA-like properties. Its role is to liberate the mRNA from a stalled ribosome. To accomplish this part of the tmRNA is used as a reading frame that ends in a translation stop signal. The record is from RNAcentral. Lineage: Bacteria; Bacillati; Bacillota; Bacilli; Caryophanales; Paenibacillaceae.